Molecule: ribosomal RNA, 592 nt
Filed under: Candida albicans
Lineage: Eukaryota; Fungi; Ascomycota; Pichiomycetes; Serinales; Debaryomycetaceae
Description: eukaryotic LSU rRNA
Rfam family: Eukaryotic large subunit ribosomal RNA
Source: RNAcentral
CCACGGGCAUGCCUCAGUAGCGGCGAGUGAAGCGGCAAAAGCUCAAAUUUGAAAUCUGGCGUCUUUGGCGUCCGAGUUGUAAUUUGAAGAAGGUAUCUUUGGGCCCGGCUCUUGUCUAUGUUCCUUGGAACAGGACGUCACAGAGGGUGAGAAUCCCGUGCGAUGAGAUGACCCGGGUCUGUGUAAAGUUCCUUCGACGAGUCGAGUUGUUUGGGAAUGCAGCUCUAAGUGGGUGGUAAAUUCCAUCUAAAGCUAAAUAUUGGCGAGAGACCGAUAGCGAACAAGUACAGUGAUGGAAAGAUGAAAAGAACUUUGAAAAGAGAGUGAAAAAGUACGUGAAAUUGUUGAAAGGGAAGGGCUUGAGAUCAGACUUGGUAUUUUGCAUGCUGCUCUCUCGGGGGCGGCCGCUGCGGUUUACCGGGCCAGCAUCGGUUUGGAGCGGCAGGAUAAUGGCGGAGGAAUGUGGCACGGCUUCUGCUGUGUGUUAUAGCCUCUGACGAUGCUGCCAGCCUAGACCGAGGACUGCGGUUUUUAACCUAGGAUGUUGGCAUAAUGAUCUUAAGUCGCCCGUCUUAACCCCGGAGAAACAAUU